RNAcentral lists this ribosomal RNA (427 nucleotides) under uncultured bacterium. RNAcentral describes it as "partial 16S ribosomal RNA". It matches the Rfam family "Bacterial small subunit ribosomal RNA", at positions 355 to 774 of the family's 1533-position model. The record is from RNAcentral.
UGGGGAAUAUUGCACAAUGGGCGCAAGCCUGAUGCAGCCAUGCCGCGUGUAUGAAGAAGGCCUUCGGGUUGUAAAGUACCUUCAGCGGGGAGGAAGGCGAUGUGGUUAAUAACCGCGUCGAUUGACGUUACCCGCAGAAGAAGCACCGGCUAACUCCGUGCCAGCAGCCGCGGUAAUACGGAGGGUGCAAGCGUUAAUCGGAAUUACUGGGCGUAAAGCGCACGCAGGCGGUCUGUCAAGUCGGAUGUGAAAUCCCCGGGCUCAACCUGGGAACUGCAUCCGAAACUGGCAGGCUUGAGUCUCGUAGAGGGGGGUAGAAUUCCAGGUGUAGCGGUGAAAUGCGUAGAGAUCUGGAGGAAUACCGGUGGCGAAGGCGGCCCCCUGGACGAAGACUGACGCUCAGGUGCGAAAGCGUGGGGAGCAAACA